UAUGUGGUAAAGGAUUUAGUCAAAAAGGUAAUUUACAGAAACAUGCGAGAACACAUACAGGUGACAAACCUUAUGACUGUGAUGUAUGUGGUAAAAGAUUUAGUGAGCAAGGUAAUUUACAGAAACAUGCAAGAACGCAUACAGGUGACAAACCUCAUGUCUGUGUUCUUUGUGAUAAAAAGUUCAGUCAGCUUAGUCAUUUACAGGGACACAUAGGAACACAUACAGGUUACAAACCUCAUAAAUGUGAUAUAUGUGGGAAUGGAUUUAGUGAUCUUAGUAAUUUAAAGAGACAUAGGAAAAUACAUACAUUGUACAUGUACAGGUGAAACAUGUAAACCUCAUAAUUGUGAUGCAUGUGGGAAAGGGUUUAGCCAAAUUAGUAGUUUACAGAGACACAUGAGAACACAUACAGGGGAUAAAUCUCAUGACUGUGAUACAAUGUAUAUAUGUGAAUCCGGGUUUGGUCAGCAUUGUAAUUAACACAUUGACCAUGUUGACACGAGAACACAUGCAGG
Molecule: long non-coding RNA, 518 nt
Filed under: Mytilus galloprovincialis (Mediterranean mussel)
Lineage: Eukaryota; Metazoa; Mollusca; Bivalvia; Mytilida; Mytilidae
Source: RNAcentral